Molecule: long non-coding RNA, 187 nt
Organism: Etheostoma cragini (Arkansas darter)
Lineage: Eukaryota; Metazoa; Chordata; Actinopteri; Perciformes; Percidae
Exons: 3
Source: RefSeq, a predicted model, not a curated record
AGGUUUUAAAUAUAAAACAAAAUGUGUUUCAAAUGUCUCCGGUUUAGGGGCUCAGAAACUCCAGAGCAGGGAGAAUGAGAGGGGAACACCAGAGCAGGGGGAAUGAGAGGGAAACACCAGAGCAGGGGGAAUGAGAGGGGGACGCCAGAGCAGGGGGAAUGAGAGGGGGACGCCAGAGCAGGGGGAA